GACGCGAUCACAAGCCUAGCCUUGGCCGAGAGGUCCGGGUAAUCUUGUAAUCCGCGUCGUGAUGGGGAUAGAUUAUUGCAAUUAUUAAUCUUCAACGAGGAAUGCCUAGUACGCGCAGUUCAUCAGACUGCGCGGAUUACGUCCCUGCCCUUUGUACACACCGCCCGUCGCUCCUACCGAUUGGGUGUGCUGGUGAAGUGUUCGGAUCGGUGCGUUGUGGCGGUUUCCGCUGCGGCGCGCUGAGAAGUUCUCUAAACCCUCCCACCUAGAGGAAGGAGAAGUCGUAACAAGGUCUCCGUAGAAGUGUUUAUACACCGUGCGGAUAAAAGCGGGCCUGAAAAGGGUUUUCCGCUAGUGGGGCUGCUGCGGCAGACUCGCAACACCGUCAAAUUGCUCGGAAAUCCUGCUAUGUCAACAGUACCGCCUCUGGUUUGGAAACAUGCCAGAGGCACCGGGGGGAAACUCGCGGGUAUGGUGAUAAUCUGUUGAAUAGGGACGAUGAGCAGCCAAGCCCUACGGUAGCGUCAGGCUACUAUGGGUGCAGUUCACAGACUAAAUGUCGGUGGGUCUCUUUUCGAGGCUUAAGAUAUAGUCGGCCCGCGCCGAUAGGCGAGCCCUUUAGAGGAUCCCGGGGAUUUUAAACAACCUGGGGGAGAGCUGAAGGGGGCUGGGACUAAUAGUCGCACGACGGCACGCAUUUUUCCAAAAUGGACCUCCCCAGUCGGAGUUGGCGAGGGUAACCUGCGAAGGAAUCGUUUGAAUCAUAUCGUAUCCGCUCUGGUAUCCACUCUGUACCCCGUUUCACGGACCCUCCCGGGGA
RNAcentral lists this ribosomal RNA (820 nucleotides) under Oocystis sp. KMMCC 1299. RNAcentral describes it as "partial 18S ribosomal RNA". The stretch from base 1 to 329 matches the Rfam family "Eukaryotic small subunit ribosomal RNA", at positions 1505 to 1831 of the family's 1831-position model. The record is from RNAcentral. Lineage: Eukaryota; Viridiplantae; Chlorophyta; Trebouxiophyceae; Chlorellales; Oocystaceae.